UUUUUUUUCAAUGAUCAAAAACAAAAACCAAUCAAUUGGAUUCAUCUCUUAUAUAUAAUACCAAUGAAUCAUGUACAUUUAUUGGAAAUACAAUUUUUUUGAUAACUCCAAAGCAACCAAAUUUAACCUCCUCUUCACUCCCGACUCUUUUGGAUUCCAACCCAACGGGCAUAAUCGACCCACAUCAAUGACCCUAAGAAAGUGUUGCCGGUUCGAACAGCAAAGCAAAUUGCACUCAGAAUAACUUUAUGUUGAUGCAGCAAUGGCUCUAGAAUUCUUUGUUCAAUAACUCCAGCAAGUAUUUGAUACCUUAGGUUGCUAGAUACUGCCAUAUAGACACCAUAGGCAAUACUGGUAGAUAAUAUAGGCACAUCCUCUGCUUCUGCAGCAAAAGAUUUAUCGAAAACCUUUCUUGCAUUGAUUAAUACGUUUGUUAUACCUACACCAACCAGAGAUGCACCGGUUCCAACUGCAAAUAGCUUUGAUCCAUUACGCAUUAUUGCACCUAUUCUCUGUAAAAAUGAAUAUGACGUUCCGGCCAAAGCCACCUGAAAUGCAUUAUCAGGACAGCCGUAGAAGAACUUAGCAAGAGGGCUAGCACUGACUGCAAUAGGUGGUCGAAGGGAAACAGUAGGAGCAGGAAGCCAUACAAGCAUAAAGUCUGCUAUUAUGGCCAUCACCACAUCAGCAAAAACAAAAUCCAGCUCCUUUGCAAAUUUCUCUCUCCGUUUUUCCAAUUCAGCUGCUGUCUUGGUAAAGAUCCCAACACCACACUCUAUUCCAACCUUAGUUAAGAACAGAUCAUCAGCAAGCAACCGUUCCUUAAAUCCACCAAAUUGAAGCAACCAUCUGAACACGGGAGACUUCUCAAGCUCAAAGUCCCUAUGCACAAUCGAUCCCGGAACUCUUCCCGCCUCAAUAGCUCCAGCCAAGUCCUUCGGCAAGCUCUCCAACGACCUCCCUACCUCCGCCAAUGCGAGAAUGGCUUCGGUCCGGUUGCGGUAUCCAGCAUCGCCGUCGUCAUCAUUUCUCCCAUCUCCUCCUCCUCCUCCUCCUCCUCCUCCACCACCACCACCCGAGCCUCCGGUUCCGCCACCAUUAGCGGAGGAAGAGACGAGAGUGGUGUGGAAUCGUUUACGAGAAGUUGACCAAGUGAGAGAGGGGGUAAAGACUUUAGAAGAAGAGGUGGAGAUGCGAGGAGUGAUGAUAGGAAAGCUCUUAUGGUAGUGGUGGUGGUUUGGAGAGUGAAAAGAGAGGGAGCGCGUUGAGAGGUUGCAGAAGGUGGCGACAGCCAUUACAGAGAGAUAGAGAGAGAGAGAGAGAGAGA
This 1327-nucleotide unclassified non-coding RNA is filed under the name Hevea brasiliensis (rubber tree). The record is from RNAcentral. Lineage: Eukaryota; Viridiplantae; Streptophyta; Magnoliopsida; Malpighiales; Euphorbiaceae.